AUCCUUCGGUUCAUGAGCAUGAUGAGUGGUGACGUCACGUCUGUACGUGACAGGUGCAGCCCUCCUUGUUACGCAGUGCGCCUCAAACCAGCUGAUC
Small nucleolar RNA from Limanda limanda (common dab), 97 nucleotides. RefSeq annotates it as small nucleolar RNA U13. The record is from RefSeq and is a predicted model, not a curated record. The transcript has a single exon. NCBI's taxonomy places the organism in Eukaryota, Metazoa, Chordata, Actinopteri, Pleuronectiformes, Pleuronectidae.